AGUCACUGACAUUAGAUACCCGGGUAGUCCCAGCCGUAAACUAUGCUCGCUAGGUGUCAGGGACGGUGCGACCGUUUCUGGUGCCGCAGGGAAGCCGUGAAGCGAGCCACCUGGGAAGUACGGUCGCAAGGCUGAAACUUAAAGGAAUUGGCGGGGGAGCACUACAACGGGUGGAGCCUGCGGUUUAAUUGGACUCAACGCCGGAAAUCUUACCGGGACCGACAGCAACAUGAAGGCCAAGCUGAAGACUUUGCCGGAUUAGCUG
RNAcentral lists this ribosomal RNA (265 nucleotides) under uncultured archaeon. RNAcentral describes it as "partial 16S ribosomal RNA". It matches the Rfam family "Archaeal small subunit ribosomal RNA", at positions 719 to 982 of the family's 1478-position model. The record is from RNAcentral.